This 253-nucleotide ribosomal RNA is filed under the name uncultured bacterium. RNAcentral describes it as "partial 16S ribosomal RNA". It matches the Rfam family "Bacterial small subunit ribosomal RNA", at positions 524 to 776 of the family's 1533-position model. The record is from RNAcentral.
UACGGAGGGGGCUAGCGUUAUUCGGAAUUAUUGGGCGUAAAGGGCGCGUAGGCGGCCAUGCGUGUCUUCCGUGAAAUCCCUCGGCUUAACUGAGGACGUGCGGAAGAAACUGCAAGGCUCGAGUCCGGGAGAGGGGGGUGGAAUUCCCAGUGUAGCGGUGAAAUGCGUAGAUAUUGGGAGGAACACCGGUGGCGAAGGCGGCCCCCUGGACCGGUACUGACACUGAGGCGCGACAGCGUGGGGAGCAAACAGG